This 84-nucleotide transfer RNA is filed under the name Planctomycetia bacterium. RNAcentral describes it as "tRNA-Tyr". It matches the Rfam family "tRNA". From Rfam's summary of the family: Transfer RNA (tRNA) molecules are approximately 80 nucleotides in length. Their secondary structure includes four short double-helical elements and three loops (D, anti-codon, and T loops). Lineage: Bacteria; Pseudomonadati; Planctomycetota; Planctomycetia. The record is from RNAcentral.
GGGUAGGUGGCCGAGCGGCCAAUGGCACCAGACUGUAAAUCUGGCAGACGAUGUCUUACGGGGGUUCGAAUCCCUCCCUACCCA